CACGAAUGAAUACAUACCUUCCUUUACUAAUAGAUAAAGAAAGAAAGACUCUACCAAUGGUUAUAUAAUUAAGACCAAUGUGAAAAUAUCUAGGAAAAACAUGGUCUUGUAGGGUUAGGUCUAAACCAGAAUUUAUAGAAAGAUUAACAGAUUCCCUAGGUGUAGCUAAAAGUGCAUUAUCUUCUUGAUUAAAAGAUAGGACCUCAGCUAUAGAAAAGGGUUGGUUUUGACCUAUUGCAAUCAACUUCGGACACAGAUCAUAAUUAGGGGCAGGACUUGUUGACUCCCAUGGUCUAUGGCUGGUUUCUGAAGGUGCAAAGAAUUCAAUAAUAGGUAUGGAAUUUAAGUUAUCCAUAAAGAUGGAAAAAAUAAAAAGAUAAAAGAAUAAAAGUAUAAAAGUAUAAUACAAGAUAAUAGCAAGACUUAAAGUUAUCUCAACAAACUGUCUUUCUCCCCGGCAACGGCGCCAGAAAUGCUUGUUGAUAUUUGGUAACGCAAUAAGGAAAUGAUCCGCAAGCGC
This 520-nucleotide long non-coding RNA is filed under the name Sorghum bicolor (sorghum). RNAcentral's name for it is "long non-coding RNA (SBIC_LNC012823)". Lineage: Eukaryota; Viridiplantae; Streptophyta; Magnoliopsida; Poales; Poaceae. The record is from RNAcentral.